GGAUGUGAGGGCGAUCUGGCUGCGACAUCUGUCACCCCAUUGAUCGCCAGGGUUGAUUCGGCUGAUCUGGCUGGCUAGGCGGGUGUCCCCUUCCUCCCUCACCGCUCCAUGUGCGUCCCUCCCGAAGCUGCGCGCUCGGUCGAAGAGGACGACCAUCCCCGAUAGAGGAGGACCGGUCUUCGGUCAAGGGUAUACGAGUN
Molecule: small nuclear RNA, 200 nt
Filed under: Pan troglodytes (chimpanzee)
Lineage: Eukaryota; Metazoa; Chordata; Mammalia; Primates; Hominidae
Description: 7SK RNA
Rfam family: 7SK RNA
About the family: 7SK was discovered as an abundant small nuclear RNA in the mid-70s but a possible function has only recently been suggested.
Source: Rfam by way of RNAcentral